UCAUUAUUUCAUCAUUUUUAAUCGUUUUUUAAUAUUCUUUGGUAAUUAGUAUAAAAUAGAAAAAAUUCUAAAUGAUAGCACUUUUUAAUAUUAUUUCAUCAUAAAAUAUUAAUGGUAACACUUUUUAAAAAAAAUUCCACAUAAUAAGGUCUAACAUUUGCGUUUAAAUUUUUCGUAACUUUAAACACACCAAAAUGUUAGUCCACCGUUACCAUCUAUUUUCGAGAACAACAAGCUAGCAUUUCAAUUGUCUCUGACCUUUUCAGUUCAUUCAAAGUGUGAGUGCUAUACCCAGCCACUGAUCUCCUUCGAGUAUCAUUACAUUCUCAGCCCCUCUCCUUCGACUUGUCUCCGGCCAGCUUGCAACUACUGUGACCUGCCAUCUCCUUCGAAGCUUCACAGAAUGCCUGAACAUAUGGUCUUAUGUUUUAAGUGGUUGUCUGUUGAAGUAGAUUUGGAUGUAAAUGAUAAGGAUAAAGUAAAUUUGUUGGAUUUGAUAAUGAAUUGGGAAGAUGAGUGCAUUAAAACUAACAAGCUUAUUUCUAAAAAUCCCUCAUUUGCGUAUGUUUGGAAGAUAGAAUCAUGUUAAACUUAAUUGUGAUCAAGACCUAAUGACCAUGUUUGAGAGGUUCAAUGACAAUGAAAUGAUUUUUAUUUGGGUUGGUGUUAAAAUCAGUUAGGAGUCUUAGGGAUUUUGCAAGUGUCACAAAAUCCUAUACCACUUAAAACCAUUCCCGCAAAAGAGAAAUUGCCAAUUAGGAGAAAGGAUUUGCAAGAGUUUGAGAUAAUAUUCCCUUUGAAUGACCACAAUGAGGUUCAACAUGAUAUUGCUGUGAUGAAUGCUACACAGGAUAAGUGGCAUGACAUGAAAGUAAAGUCAUCAUUAAAAGCUUUUGAAAAUAUUGUAAGGGUAACUAUGGUAAGGAUGGCCACAAGAAAGGAGAAGAGUGAAAACUGGAUAGACACUAAUUUCUGUUCUAAUAUAGUGAAGAGAGUGAAGUCCCUGAUUUCAGACUCUAAGAACAUGUAAGGCUUUCAAUUCUGGUGAUGGAUUUUAUGAGAUUAAAGAUGGUAAGUCCACCUUUUUUGUGAGCUUAAAUGACAGAACAUGCAUGUGCAACGCAUGGCAACUCACUGGGAUCCCUUGCAAGCAUGCUGUGAGGGCCAUUCUACAUUCAAGCCAAGAUCCCAUAAGGUUUUGCAGUGAUUGGUACAGUUGCAAAAUGUACAAGCAAGCAUAUGCAAGCACUAUUAAAUCUAUUCCAGACCCUGAGAGUUGGCCAGAAAUGCAGUUCCCACUAAUUAAGCCACCAGUGAUGAAGAGAGCAAUUAGAAGAACUGCAUAGAACAGAAAGAGGGAUGCAAACGAAGAACGAAAGGGGAAAAGGUCUAAGACUGUGAAGUGUAGGAGAUGCAAGGAGUUUGGACACAAUGUGAAGACUUGCAAGGAUGGAUUGAAGGCUAACCAAAAAAAGGAUAAAAGGACGAUUUCUACGCCGUCAUCUUCAAAAGCAUCCUAAAUAUAAUUAUGUAAAUACGUCUUAAUGCUAGAUAUGCAACUUUGAACUUUGAUAAUAGUAGUUUUUGAACUUUGAACAUAUGUACUAGUUCUUGAAGUGUACUUUUUGAACUUUAUAAUGCUAAUUAAGUAAAUAUGUAUUAGUGCUUGGAAAGCACCUUUUGAACUAUUAAAAUGCACCUUUUGAGCUUAUGAAAUACAUCGUUUGAAUUAUU
Molecule: long non-coding RNA, 1734 nt
Organism: Amaranthus tricolor (Joseph's coat)
Lineage: Eukaryota; Viridiplantae; Streptophyta; Magnoliopsida; Caryophyllales; Amaranthaceae
Exons: 2
Source: RefSeq, a predicted model, not a curated record